Molecule: ribosomal RNA, 442 nt
Filed under: uncultured bacterium
Lineage: Bacteria
Description: partial 16S ribosomal RNA
Rfam family: Bacterial small subunit ribosomal RNA
Source: RNAcentral
CCUACGGGAGGCAGCAGUGAGGAAUAUUGGUCAAUGGACGAAAGCCUGAUGGAGCAACGCCGCGUGCAGGAUGAAGGCCUUCGGGUUGUAAACUGCUUUUAUAAGCGAGAAAUAUGAUGGUAACUUAUGAAUAAGGAUCGGCUAACUACGUGCCAGCAGCCGCGGUCAUACGUAGGAUCCGAGCAUUAUCCGGAGUGACUGGGUGUAAAGAGUUGCGUAGGUGGCAUAAUAAGUAGCUAGUGAAAUCUGGUGGCUCAACCAUUCAGACUAUUAGCUAAACUGUUAAGCUCGAGACCGUUAGGGGUAACUGGAAUUUCUAGUGUAGGAGUGAAAUCCGUAGAUAUUAGAAGGAACACCAAUAGCGUAGGCAGGUUGCUGGGACGGUUCUGACACUAAGGCACGAAAGCGUAGGGAGCAAACGGGAUUAGAUACCCUAGUAGUC